RNAcentral lists this ribosomal RNA (443 nucleotides) under Miyakella holoschista. RNAcentral describes it as "Miyakea holoschista partial 16S ribosomal RNA". It matches the Rfam family "Bacterial large subunit ribosomal RNA", at positions 1923 to 2564 of the family's 2925-position model. Lineage: Eukaryota; Metazoa; Arthropoda; Malacostraca; Stomatopoda; Squillidae. The record is from RNAcentral.
UUAAAGAGCCGCGGUAUCCUGACCGUGCGAAGGUAGCAUAAUAAUUAGUCUCCUAAUUAGAGGCUUGUAUGAAUGGUCGGACAAGAUGGAAACUGUCUCGAUACAAAAAAUAAAACUUAAUAUUUAAGUAAAAAAGCUUAAAUAACGUGGAGGGACGAUAAGACCCUAUAAAGCUUUAUGAUAUUGUUUUUUUUUAUAAUUUAUCUUAUUAUUAACCUAUUUUAAAAUCUUUAUCAUUUUACUGGGGCGGUAAAAGUAUAAUAAAGAAUAACUGCUUUUGUUUUGUACAACAACGAUAGUUGAAAAUAAAUUGAUCCAUUAAUAAUGAUCAUAAGAACAAGUUACUUUAGGGAUAACAGCGUAAUUUUUUUUGAGAGUCCUUAUCGAAAAAAAAGUUUGCGACCUCGAUGUUGAAUUAAGGUUACCUUAAGGUGCAGCAGUUU